Molecule: long non-coding RNA, 500 nt
Organism: Dreissena polymorpha
Lineage: Eukaryota; Metazoa; Mollusca; Bivalvia; Myida; Dreissenidae
Exons: 3
Source: RefSeq, a predicted model, not a curated record
AAGACUACAUGAGACUUUGACAGAUGGCGGGAAACCCUCAUCCACUGGUACGAACCCGGUAAAUUGAUGGCUGUAAAACAGUGACCGCUGAUUCGCAUCGAGUUCUUUCUUGCAAAACGCACGACCCCCCUUUUUUAUUGUCUAAAUCAUUGCGACUUGGAAUGCUCUUUAAGAAAAGGUAGAGGAAUGUCUGCAACUAAGCCGAGGGCCACUGGAUAAGGGUUGUUGAUGGUAAAACAGGUUAAAGACUACAUGAGACUUUGACAGAUGGCGGGAAACCCUCAUCCACUGGUACGAACCCGGUAAAUUGAUGGCUGUAAAACAGUGACCGCUGAUUCGCAUCGAGUUCUUUCUUGCAAAACGCAUGACCCCCCUUUUUUAUUGUCUAAAUCAUUGCGACUUGGAAUGCUCUUUAAGAAAAGGUAUGGUUAUGGGGGUCUCUAUGCGCAAAAGUUUGACUUUAUUUUUUGUUGAAGUUAUUGCUUUUACAUUGAAUUUGU